GUCUAUGGCCAUACCCCCCUGAACGCGCCCGAUCUCGUCUGAUCUCGGAAGCUAAGCAGGGUCGGGCCUGGUUAGUACUUGGAUGGGAGUCCAUUAAAUCGCUCUCUUUAGAUA
Molecule: ribosomal RNA, 114 nt
Filed under: Neogale vison (American mink)
Lineage: Eukaryota; Metazoa; Chordata; Mammalia; Carnivora; Mustelidae
Source: RNAcentral